This is a non-coding RNA of Acanthosepion pharaonis, 112 nucleotides long. The record is from the annotation of a GenBank genome assembly. NCBI's taxonomy places the organism in Eukaryota, Metazoa, Mollusca, Cephalopoda, Sepiida, Sepiidae.
UUACAGCCAUAUCAUGUUGAAACACUAGUUCUUGUAGGACCACCAAAGUUAAGCAAUGUCAAGCCUGGUCAGUACUUAAGUGUGUGACCACUUGAGAAUACCAGGUGCUGUA